AAUGGAGGAAACUCUGAUCCAGCCAUCCCGCGUGCAGGAUGACGGCCUAUGGGUUGUAAACUGCUUUUAGAUAGGACGAACGCCUAGAUUUAUCUGGGCCUGACGGUACUAUCAGAAUAAGCACCGGCUAACUCCGUGCCAGCAGCCGCGGUAAUACGGAGGGUGCAAGCGUUAUCCGGAAUCACUGGGUUUAAAGGGUGCGUAGGCGGCUUUGUAAGUCAGAUGUGAAAGCCCACCGCUUAACGGUGGAACUGCAUUUGAUACUGCAAGGCUUGAAUCAGGCUGAGGUCAGCGGAAUGUGUCAUGUAACGGUGAAAUGCAUAGAUAUGACAUAGAACACCAAUUGCGAAGGCAGCUGGCUAGACCUGCAUUGACGCUGAGGCACGAAAGCGUGGGGAGCGAACAGGAUU
Molecule: ribosomal RNA, 410 nt
Filed under: uncultured Gammaproteobacteria bacterium
Lineage: Bacteria; Pseudomonadati; Pseudomonadota; Gammaproteobacteria
Description: bacterial SSU rRNA
Rfam family: Bacterial small subunit ribosomal RNA
Source: RNAcentral